AGUGCCUACGGGGCGCAGCAGUGGGGAAUAUUGCGCAAUGGGGGGAACCCUGACGCAGCAACGCCGCGUGCAGGAAGAAGGUCUUCGGAUUGUAAACUGUUGUCGCAAGGGAAGAAGACAGUGACGGUACCUUGUGAGAAAGUCACGGCUAACUACGUGCCAGCAGCCGCGGUAAUACGUAGGUGACAAGCGUUGUCCGGAUUUACUGGGUGUAAAGGGCGCGUAGGCGGGAUAGCAAGUCAGUCGUGAAAUGCAGAGGCUUAAACUCGGAGCUGCGAUUGAAACUGUUAUCCUUGAGUAUCGGG
This 305-nucleotide ribosomal RNA is filed under the name uncultured bacterium. Its description in RNAcentral is "bacterial SSU rRNA". It matches the Rfam family "Bacterial small subunit ribosomal RNA", at positions 333 to 653 of the family's 1533-position model. The record is from RNAcentral.